GGUCCGGUCUUUCGCGAUGGACCGGUUCGAACCGGGUCAGAUCGGGAACGAAGCAGCCCUAAGGAUGCAGGUCUCAGGUGCGGAUGCCCGGACCCAC
Molecule: signal recognition particle RNA, 97 nt
Filed under: Planctomycetota bacterium
Lineage: Bacteria; Pseudomonadati; Planctomycetota
Description: signal recognition particle sRNA small type
Rfam family: Bacterial small signal recognition particle RNA
About the family: The signal recognition particle (SRP) is a universally conserved ribonucleoprotein involved in the co-translational targeting of proteins to membranes. Archaeal SRP consists of a 7S RNA and homologues of the eukaryotic SRP19 and SRP54 proteins. In most bacteria, the SRP consists of a 4.5S RNA and the Ffh protein (a homologue of the eukaryotic SRP54 protein).
Source: RNAcentral